AGUGAACGCUGGCGGUAUGCCUAACACAUGCAAGUCGAACGGCAGCACAGUAAGAGCUUGCUCUUACGGGUGGCGAGUGGCGGACGGGUGAGGAAUACAUCGGAAUCUACUUUUUCGUGGGGGAUAACGUAGGGAAACUUACGCUAAUACCGCAUACGACGUACGGGUGAAAGCAGGGGAUCUUCGGACCUUGCGCGAUUGAAUGAGCCGAUGUCGGAUUAGCUAGUUGGCGGGGUAAAGGCCCACCAAGGCGACGAUCCGUAGCUGGUCUGAGAGGAUGAUCAGCCACACUGGAACUGAGACACGGUCCAGACUCCUACGGGAGGCAGCAGUGGGGAAUAUUGGACAAUGGGCGCAAGCCUGAUCCAGCCAUACCGCGUGGGUGAAGAAGGCCUUCGGGUUGUAAAGCCCUUUUGUUGGGAAAGAAAAGCAGCAGGUUAAUACCCCGCUGUUCUGACGGUACCCAAAGAAUAAGCACCGGCUAACUUCGUG
This 492-nucleotide ribosomal RNA is filed under the name uncultured bacterium. Its description in RNAcentral is "partial 16S ribosomal RNA". It matches the Rfam family "Bacterial small subunit ribosomal RNA", at positions 29 to 507 of the family's 1533-position model. The record is from RNAcentral.